AUCAUUUUGUGGCUGAUAUGUGUGAUGAGGGGGUUUUCACACUCUUAUGUGGGAUGGGAAACGUCUUUAGAACAGUGGCACUUUACCUGUCUUAUA
This 96-nucleotide small nucleolar RNA is filed under the name Macaca fascicularis (crab-eating macaque). RNAcentral's name for it is "Small nucleolar RNA U13 (ENSMFAG00000053695.1)". It matches the Rfam family "Small nucleolar RNA U13". RNAcentral also lists the same sequence under 3 other names. Lineage: Eukaryota; Metazoa; Chordata; Mammalia; Primates; Cercopithecidae. The record is from Rfam by way of RNAcentral.